GUCAGAAUGGCCGAGUGGUCGAAGGCGCCAGACUUAAGUUCUGGUCCACGUAUGUGGGCGUGGGUUCAAAUCCCACUUCUCCCCCGCAGGGGCG
RNAcentral lists this transfer RNA (94 nucleotides) under Rhipicephalus microplus (southern cattle tick). RNAcentral's name for it is "tRNA-Leu". The stretch from base 1 to 84 matches the Rfam family "tRNA". Rfam says of the family: Transfer RNA (tRNA) molecules are approximately 80 nucleotides in length. Their secondary structure includes four short double-helical elements and three loops (D, anti-codon, and T loops). The record is from RNAcentral. Lineage: Eukaryota; Metazoa; Arthropoda; Arachnida; Ixodida; Ixodidae.